AUUGAACGCUGGCGGCGUGCUUUACACAUGCAAGUCGGACGAGUGGCGAACGGGUGAGUAACGCAUCGGAACGUACGGAGUAAUGGGGGAUAACUGUCCGAAGGGACAGCUAAUACCGCAUAUUAUACGAGCGGCCGCGGUCUGAUUAGCUGGUGGGCGGGGUAAAGGCCCACCAAGGCGCCGCACAGUAGCGGGUCUGAGAGGAUGAUCCGCCACCCUGGGACUGAGACACGGCCCAGACUCCUACGGGAGGCAGCAGUGGGGAAUUUUGGACAAUGGGCGCAAGCCUGAUCCAGCCAUGCCGCGUGUCUGAAGAAGGCCUUCGGGUUGUAAAGGACUUUUGUCAGGGAAGCGGUACCUGAAGAAUAAUCACCGGCUAACUACGUGCCAGCAGCCGCGGUAAUUC
This 406-nucleotide ribosomal RNA is filed under the name uncultured bacterium. Its description in RNAcentral is "partial 16S ribosomal RNA". It matches the Rfam family "Bacterial small subunit ribosomal RNA", at positions 30 to 526 of the family's 1533-position model. The record is from RNAcentral.